RNAcentral lists this unclassified non-coding RNA (213 nucleotides) under plant metagenome. RNAcentral describes it as "partial contains small subunit ribosomal RNA, internal transcribed spacer 1, and 5.8S ribosomal RNA". The record is from RNAcentral.
UUUCCGUAGGUGAACCUGCGGAAGGAUCAUUCAUAAUAAGUGUUUUAUGGCACUUUUUUAAAUCCAUAUCCACCUUGUGUGCAAUGUCAGGGUUGAUUUUUCUCUCGAGAGGAUCAACCCCAAACAUCAACUAUAUCUCAACUCUUUGUCUGAAAAAUAUUAUGAAUGAAACAAUUCAAAAUACAACUUUCAACAACGGAUCUCUUGGCUCUC